This 404-nucleotide ribosomal RNA is filed under the name uncultured bacterium. RNAcentral's name for it is "bacterial SSU rRNA". It matches the Rfam family "Bacterial small subunit ribosomal RNA", at positions 29 to 458 of the family's 1533-position model. The record is from RNAcentral.
AACGAACGCUGGCGGCAGGCUUAACACAUGCAAGUCGAACGGGUGUAGCAAUACAUCAGUGGCAGACGGGUGAGUAACACGUGGGAACCUUCCUAGAGGUACGGAACAACUCAGGGAAACUUGAGCUAAUACCGUAUACGCUCUUGCGAGGAAAGAUUUAUCGCCUUUAGACGGGCCCGCGUCGGAUUAGCUAGUUGGUGGGGUAAACGGCCUACCAAGGCGACGAUCCGUAGCUGAUCUGAGAGGAUGAUCAGCCACACUGGGACUGAGACACGGCCCAGACUCCUACGGGAGGCAGCAGUGGGGAAUCUUGGACAAUGGGCGCAAGCCUGAUCCAGCCAUGCCGCGUGAGUGAAGAAGGCCUUCGGUUGUAAAGCUCUUUGCAGGACGAUAAUGACGGUACC